RNAcentral lists this non-coding RNA (77 nucleotides) under Jannaschia rubra. RNAcentral describes it as "Singlet oxygen resistance RNA X". It matches the Rfam family "Singlet oxygen resistance RNA X". From Rfam's summary of the family: SorX (RSs2461)like SorY is a singlet oxygen induced sRNA that counteracts oxidative stress by targeting mRNA for a transporter in Rhodobacter. It also has an impact on resistance against organic hydroperoxides. It targets SD sequence of potA mRNA via an aSD sequence. The record is from Rfam by way of RNAcentral. Lineage: Bacteria; Pseudomonadati; Pseudomonadota; Alphaproteobacteria; Rhodobacterales; Roseobacteraceae.
UACCGGCGCAUCUGCGGGACGACACAGAUGCAACCUCCCUGUUGGACUUGCCCGGGCCUCCGUGCCCGGGUGUCUUU